This 83-nucleotide transfer RNA is filed under the name Treponema sp. Its description in RNAcentral is "tRNA-Leu". It matches the Rfam family "tRNA". Rfam says of the family: Transfer RNA (tRNA) molecules are approximately 80 nucleotides in length. Their secondary structure includes four short double-helical elements and three loops (D, anti-codon, and T loops). RNAcentral also lists the same sequence under 1 other name. The record is from RNAcentral. Lineage: Bacteria; Pseudomonadati; Spirochaetota; Spirochaetia; Treponematales; Treponemataceae.
GCCGGAAUGGUGGAAUGGUAGACACGACAGACUCAAAAUCUGUUGCGAGCAAUCGUGUAAGAGUUCAAGUCUCUUUUCCGGUA